This 445-nucleotide ribosomal RNA is filed under the name uncultured bacterium. RNAcentral describes it as "bacterial SSU rRNA". It matches the Rfam family "Bacterial small subunit ribosomal RNA", at positions 331 to 793 of the family's 1533-position model. The record is from RNAcentral.
CCAGACUCCUACGGGAGGCAGCAGUGGGGGAUAUUGCACAAUGGGGGAAACCCUGAUGCAGCAACGCCGCGUGAGUGAAGAAGUCAUUCGUGAUGUAAAGCUCUAUCAGCAGGGAAGAAAAUGACGGUACCUGACUAAGAAGCCCCGGCUAACUACGUGCCAGCAGCCGCGGUAAUACGUAGGGGGCAAGCGUUAUCCGGAUUUACUGGGUGUAAAGGGAGCGUAGACGGUAGAGCAAGUCUGAAGUGAAAGCCCGCGGCUCAACUGCGGGACUGCUUUGGAAACUGUUCAACUGGAGUGCCGGAGAGGUAAGCGGAAUUCCUAGUGUAGCGGUGAAAUGCGUAGAUAUUAGGAGGAACACCAGUGGCGAAGGCGGCUUACUGGACAGUAACUGACGUUGAGGCUCGAAAGCGUGGGGAGCAAACAGGAUUAGAUACCCCAGUAC